This 397-nucleotide ribosomal RNA is filed under the name uncultured bacterium. RNAcentral describes it as "partial 16S ribosomal RNA". It matches the Rfam family "Bacterial small subunit ribosomal RNA", at positions 361 to 772 of the family's 1533-position model. The record is from RNAcentral.
AUAUUGGGCAAUGGGCGCAAGCCUGACCCAGCAACGCCGCGUGGAGGAAGAAGGUUUUCGGAUUGUAAACUUCUGUCCUCAAGGACGAAAAAAAUGACGGUACUUGGGGAGGAAGCCCCGGCUAACUACGUGCCAGCAGCCGCGGUAAUACGUAGGGGGCAAGCGUUGUCCGGAAAUACUGGGCGUAAAGGGAGCGCAGGCGGUCAGUUAAGUUAGAUGUGAAAUACCCGGGCUUAACCUGGGAGGUGCAUCUAAAACUGGUUGACUUGAGUGCAGGAGAGGAAAGUGGAAUUCCUAGUGUAGCGGUGAAAUGCGUAGAUAUUAGGAGGAACACCAGUGGCGAAGGCGACUUUCUGGACUGUAACUGACGCUGAGGCUCGAAAGCGUGGGGAGCAAA